Dipodomys ordii (Ord's kangaroo rat) is the source of this 110-nucleotide ribosomal RNA. Lineage: Eukaryota; Metazoa; Chordata; Mammalia; Rodentia; Heteromyidae. The record is from Ensembl.
GUCUACAGCCAUAUCACCCUGACCGUGAUCUGAUCUUGGAAGCUAAACGGGGUCAGGCCUGGUUAGUACUUGGAUGGGCAACCAUCUGGGAAUACUGGGUGAUGUAAUUG